Molecule: antisense RNA, 75 nt
Filed under: Streptomyces roseus
Lineage: Bacteria; Bacillati; Actinomycetota; Actinomycetes; Kitasatosporales; Streptomycetaceae
Description: ASpks TB sRNA
Rfam family: ASpks TB sRNA
Source: Rfam by way of RNAcentral
CUUGAUCGAGCCGAGCCACAGCGGCUUGUCCUGCGCCCGGCCCUGGCCGUACGUGGCGAGCAGCGCCUGCGCCUC